UAAGUUGUUAGGGUUCCGGCGCGGUGGCGCCGCCGCACCGGCCGGCCAGCCGCCGCCGGAACCCCCUCAUCUUUCCGUCGGAGCAAAGAAGAAAGAAUAGAGAGAGUUUGAGAGAUUUAGGGAAGAAGAGAGAGAAAAGGAAAAGAAAAAUGAGGAAAUUAGGGUUCACACCCUUUAUAUACCUCUCAAAUCCGGGUCGACCCGCCAGGCUUAACCCAUGACCCGCUCCGUUUCUAUCUAGGCCCAAACCUUUUUUUUACUUUCUGCACACCCCAUAAUACUGCUACACCUCCCACCUUGUGAUUGAACCUUUUAUUUAUUUCUUUCAAGUCUUGCAUACAUUUUAUUUAUCGUUUAGCAUUGUAAUUAUUAAUUUAUGUUCUCUCAUGCAUGUUAGAAUGUAAAUUAGGCCUUGAUGUAAAUAAUUUAUUUACUUUUUCUUGUCAUUUAUUUUUUUGCAGACCUUAGAAUGUAAAUAGGUUUUUUUGUAAUAGUUUAGGUGCAUGUGUGCG
Molecule: long non-coding RNA, 512 nt
Filed under: Medicago truncatula (barrel medic)
Lineage: Eukaryota; Viridiplantae; Streptophyta; Magnoliopsida; Fabales; Fabaceae
Description: lncRNA gene15439
Source: RNAcentral